ACGGGAGGCAGCAGUGGGGAAUAUUGCACAAUGGGGGAAACCCUGAUGCAGCGACGCCGCGUGAGUGAUGAAGUAUCUCGGUAUGUAAAGCUCUAUCAGCAGGGAAGAUAAUGACGGUACCUGACUAAGAAGCACCGGCUAAAUACGUGCCAGCAGCCGCGGUAAUACGUAUGGUGCAAGCGUUAUCCGGAUUUACUGGGUGUAAAGGGAGCGUAGGUGGUUUGGCAAGCCAGAAGUGAAAACCCGGGGCUCAACUCCGUGGAUUGCUUUUGGAACUGUUGAACUAGAGUGCAGGAGGGGUAAGUGGAAUUCCCAGUGUAGCGGUGAAAUGCGUAGAUAUUGGGAGGAACACCAGUGGCGAAGGCGGCUUACUGGACUGAUACUGACACUGAGGCUCGAAAGCGUGGGGAGCAAACAGGAUUAGAUACCCUGGUA
This 435-nucleotide ribosomal RNA is filed under the name uncultured Lachnospiraceae bacterium. RNAcentral describes it as "bacterial SSU rRNA". It matches the Rfam family "Bacterial small subunit ribosomal RNA", at positions 341 to 792 of the family's 1533-position model. Lineage: Bacteria; Bacillati; Bacillota; Clostridia; Lachnospirales; Lachnospiraceae. The record is from RNAcentral.